Mustela lutreola (European mink) is the source of this 4369-nucleotide long non-coding RNA. RefSeq lists it as uncharacterized. The record is from RefSeq and is a predicted model, not a curated record. The transcript is spliced from 7 exons. Lineage: Eukaryota; Metazoa; Chordata; Mammalia; Carnivora; Mustelidae.
AGGUACACUCGGCUCCCUGCCUGCCUGUUCCGAGACUGGCAUGUCCUGUCCAGUUCAGCUAUGGGCCCUCCAUAGGACGAGAACGUGGAGUCUCUGGGGGGAGGGAGGAAGCUCAGCACUAGCAUGCAGCCAGUAAGGGCUAUGAGGACGGGGCCCUGGACGACUCCUCGGAGCCACCCCUUGGGACACAGAAAGAGAGAGCAAGAGAGCACAAGCAGGGGAGUAGCAGAGGCAGAGGGAGAAGCAGACUCCCCACUAAGCCCAACACAGGGUUCUAUCCCAGGACCCUGGGAUCAUGAGCUGAGAUGAAAGCAGAUGCUUAACCACCUGAGACACCCAGCAUGGAGGGACCGAUAGAUUUGCAGUAUGAGAGCUCCACGUGUGGGAAUCCAUCCUGUGCAACCCUCGCUCACAAUGGCAAUCCGAAUUACAACCUCCUGGGAGGAUUCACGCACCAAAGUAACAGCCCUCAUCUCUGAGGGGCAGCAUCACCUGUUCGGUUCCUUUUCUGCUUGUCAUCUACACGCGUCCCCAUUAUGGGAGCAUUCUUUUGCAAGAGCCACAUGUUCCUCCUUCAAUAGGAAGGAAUGAACCAAGACAUCGGUCAGGCAGGAGAAACCUUCCAGUCACUGUGAUUCCUUCAGACCCAGCACAUCCCCAUCCACCUAGGCCGUGUGGACACCACCUGCAGCAGCCCCUACCCACGUUAAGAAGUGCUGGCUCCCUAGCAGGUCCUUGGCAAAGGGCGGGAGGGAGAUGACGCGGCGGAAGGAGUGCCAGCUUUUUGGAUCCCGACUCUCACCUGGGAAGGGAGCAAUUAGUUUUCAUAACCUCAGGCAGAUGAAUGAUGCAAACUUGUAACAAUCGUUUGGAAGUGUAUUUAUUUAAAUUUCUUUUCUCUCUAAGCAGUUUUGCGACUGCUGAACGGUAAAUUUUCGGUUUGUUGCAGCACAUUCAUGGUCUUGCAGGCAGGGACCCUGCAAGGGAGGCAAACUGAUUUUCCCAAGCAAACAGCAAAACAACAGCUUUCCGCUCUGACUUUCCCAGGUCCACCUCUCUCCGCCCCUUCUUGCACCUGGGACCUUCUGAGGAUAUCCCACCCCUCCCCUGGGCGGGGCCAACACCGAGGAACCCGGAUUCUCAACCCUCCCUUCAAGACCCCGUAUCUCCAGCCCCCGCGGGCUCUGGGGGAAUAGGAGGAGACAUCGACGCUGGGGGGAGGGGUUGCGGCUUACGCGAGGCCUCUAGGACGCUGCUUUACGGCAGAGAUGGGAGAGGGGCUCAGUCAGACCGCCUGCCCCCGCGUGAGCGACCGGACUUCACCUUGUCGUUCCCGCCGGCCAUCGGCCUCCGCCAGGCCAAUGGCUGCACUAGACCCGACGUGGGAAACCCCAGGAGUCUCCACAAAGAGGAUCCAGUUCAUAUACCUAUAUGUUGGGAGGUUGCCAUGCAAUAUGAUGUUCUGGGCUGCAGAGUUCCUGAACUGUGUGAGGAGAAUACCUGGAUUCUCUCAUUAUGGGACAUGAUGUCCACCUCAAGGAGUGGCUCUGAGGCUGCGUACAGGUGUCUGUUUACCAGAGUUCGAAUGUGUGUGACCGGAAUACAUUUUCCAAUGUCAGUGUCCACCCAGAAGAAAUCAGUUUGUCAAACCGAAAUACCAUGGACCCAAUUUUUCAAAUCAUCAAAACAAUUUCCUCUCAACAGUUUUGCUUCUAUAACAUAUUCUGUCACAAUAUCCAGGGCAACUUAAUGAGCUUUUUCCCCACCUGAAAAAGAUAAGUUGUUUUUAAAAACCCUUAUUUAUAGAGUCACUGAAACUAAAAUGUAUAAUUGCCAGUAAGUCUGCUUGUGGCCACAUUUUCCUUCUGACAAGAUCAUUUUCUUUUUAAAAAAAAGAUUUAUUUAUUUUGAGACAGAGAGUGUGGACGAGGGUGGGGGGAGGUGCAGCGGGCAGGAACUAAGAGAGAAGAACCACCAGCGGUCUCCCCACUGAGUGCAGAGCUACCACCCUGAGAUUACGACCUGAGUCAAAACCACGAGUCGGACACUUAAAUGAUUGAGCUACCCCAGGCACCUCUAGAUUAUUUUCUACCAUUGAACUCAAUGUGACAAGACAAAGAGUCUAUGUAGCUUUAGUACUUUGGUCUGAUGUUGCUGGAAUUCUGUUCCAAGGCCUUUGAAUUUUUUUCCUUGCAGCUCAUCUUGAACUUGGGGUCAGGUUCUGAAUUCUUCACUUCUCUGCAUUAAUCACCACUAUGAAUGUACACAUAGUUUCAGGAAGGCUUUAAAUAAUAUUCCAUGUUAAAUAAAUGGAGGAUUUUUUGCUCGCUGAAGUCUCAGACACUCAGAAGUUCAGGGUUCUUGAUUAUUUUCAUGACAGUUCUGUGCAGAGGCAGGGCUGGUGGCCAUCAUGGUAGCAAGAUGAACUGUGCUCCUAACUUCAGGUAAAAAACCACUUCUCACUUCUGGAAAAUAAAAACGAAAAAAUGAGAGGACAGAAUAGUUUUUCUUUAUAUAGCAUGAACACAUUUAUUGUUCUGCUGUUGAAAAUUGAUUGUACUUAACUUCUAAGACUUAAUUAGAAAGCAAAUCCUCAUAAUAAGCCCUUAACACCAAAUGCUGGUGAGGCUGUGGCACAGCAGGAACUCUCGUUCAUUGCCAGUGGCAAUGCUCAGUGCCACUUUAGAAGACAGUUCUCAUGCAAAACCUUUUUACAAAGGUUUUAUUUUUUUAUUUGAGAGAGCAUGAGUUCGGGGAGGGCAGAGGGAGAAGCAGACUUCCCCCUCAGCAGAGCCCCAUGUGGGGCUCGAUCCCAGGACCCUGGGAUCAUGAUCUAAGCCGAAGGCAGACACUUAACUGACUGAGCCACCCAGGCAUCCAAAAGUAACCAUCCUCUUACCAUAAGAUCCAGCGAUUGUGAUUGUAUUUACCCUAGGGAGUUGAAAACCUGUCUGCACAGAAGCCUGUACACAAAUGUUUACAGCAGCUUUAUUCCUAAUUGCCAAAACAUGGAAGCAACCAAGAUGUCCUUUAGUAGGUGAAUGGAUAAAUGAAUGGUGGUACCUCCAGACAAUGGAAUAUAAAUGGAAUAAAAGAAACGAACAAUCAAGCUACAAAAAGAUACAGAGAUGGGGGCACCUGGGUGGCUCAGUCAGUUCAGUGUCUGACUUCAGCUUAAGUUUUUGAUCCCAGAGUCCUGGGAUUGAGUCCCACAUAAGCCUCCCUGCUCAGCAGGGAGUCUGCUUCUCCCUCUCCACUUAUGGAGUCUCUCUCAAAUAAGUAUUUUUAAAAGACCAGUAGUUAUGAGGGAUUCCACAGGGUGGGGGGGAUGAGAUGAAUUGGUGGAAACAGGAAUAUUUUUUUAGGGCAGUAGAACUCUGCUAUAUGAUAAUGUAAUGGUGGAUACAUAUCCUUAUGUAUUUGUGAAAAUCCAAAGAAAUACACCGCAAAUGUUGAACUGCACUGUAAACUGUGGCCUUCAUUACCCGUAACAAAUGGACCACAGUAAGGCAAAUUGUUAGUAAUAGAGGAAACUAGAAAGAGGGAGUAGGUGAGGGAUUAUCUGUGAACACUGCACUUUCUAGUCAUUUCUUGAUAAACCUAAAACUACUCAGAAAAAUAGACUAUUAAUUUUUUAAAGAACUAUCAAGCAGUUAAAUUUCUUUACUGUAUAACCUUGAAAAGAGAUUGUACUGAUAGAAUGCUCAAAUGAAUGGACAUUAAUGCAAAUUCGAAUCUUUCUACUUCAACCUUCAUUGUCUGGCAUCCAAAAAGAGGUGCUACUGUGUAUAAAAUAGUUAUGUCCUCUGAGAUGGCUGAGGCAAACCACUUGUAUGAAAUGUUAUAAGAAUAAAGGUGGGAGGUUAAAAUAUAGUACUAGGCCAGAGAGAGCAUCUGAUGGGGGUGACAGGUUCCAGAACAGAUUCCAGAAUAUACCACCCCAAAGUAUGUCUCUUUGGAACAGGGACUGUUCUAAGCUAAAGGCCGUUGAGAACCAGCCAACAUAGGAAGGGUUCCAAAAAUGACACAAGCUUUCUUUCAUAAAGGACAUUUCUAUUGGUAAAGAGUUUCUCUCCCCCUCACCAGGGAGAGGAAGGCUAUUACUAUUUAAUUUUUUCCCCAGAUUUACUGAGAUAUAAUUGACAUGUAACGUGGUCUGAGUUUAAGGUAUACCAUGUGAUUUGAUAUACGUACAUCAGAGGUAAAUGUACAUCUAAGGAUAUGAUUACCACAGUAGAGUUAGAUAACAUGCAUCACCACUAUGCAGUUACCUUUGUGUGUGUGUGGUGAGAACUUUUAAAGAUCUCUUGGCAACUUUACAAUCACCAUGCUGUUCAUUAGACCCCCAGAAUAAAUAAUUUUAUUAUUA